Molecule: transfer RNA, 69 nt
Filed under: Anoplophora chinensis
Lineage: Eukaryota; Metazoa; Arthropoda; Insecta; Coleoptera; Cerambycidae
Description: tRNA-Met
Rfam family: tRNA
About the family: Transfer RNA (tRNA) molecules are approximately 80 nucleotides in length. Their secondary structure includes four short double-helical elements and three loops (D, anti-codon, and T loops).
Source: RNAcentral
AAAAAGAUAAGCUAAUUAAGCUACUGGGUUCAUACCCCAUUUAUGAAAGUCCUAAUCUUUCUCUUUUUA